ACAUAAAUUAUAAAAUAUAUAAAGUAUAAACAAAUGCGCCAGUUUAGUCUACAUCGAGAGCAUAAGCAUGAAUACAAGAGAAGAUUGCUAGUACAUCCAGCAAACCACAUCAAAAUGUAUACUUUAUAAAAUUUCAAGAGAACCAAACAACUUGUGCAACAACACCAUUUGAUUGCAUAGAUCCGAUUUGUGACCCAUGUAGCUGCGAGCAGAGAAAGUAUCUCGGUGGGCUUUAGCUGUUGAAUAGAAACCGUAAAUAACAGUGUUCCUUUAGAUUAAUGUGAGGUAGACUAAGAUGACACGUGUUGGUGAAGAGAUUGAAUAAGGUUUUAGUCUAGAGCUUUAAAGGUCUAAUCAAUUUAUGUACUUUGGCAUUAUAAUCAAACUGAAACCUCUUCUAAAGCAAUAUCUACGACAAUGUUACAUAUAUAUAUAUAUAUAUAUAUAUUAUAGUUUUAUAGUUUGUUGGGGGACAUCUAAAAGUUUGUUUAGUUUUUCAGUUUCCACUUUUAAU
This 514-nucleotide small RNA is filed under the name Arabidopsis thaliana (thale cress). RNAcentral describes it as "ATSL185050". Lineage: Eukaryota; Viridiplantae; Streptophyta; Magnoliopsida; Brassicales; Brassicaceae. The record is from RNAcentral.